Molecule: long non-coding RNA, 281 nt
Filed under: Elaeis guineensis (African oil palm)
Lineage: Eukaryota; Viridiplantae; Streptophyta; Magnoliopsida; Arecales; Arecaceae
Description: long non-coding RNA (EGUI_LNC021311)
Source: RNAcentral
UCCCUUGCUGGUUAUUGCUUCCAGAGCCUCUUCUCCUCCUCCUCUAUUCCUCCUCUUGAUCUUCUCUUGCUUUGGAGUGUCCAAGGCAUUGGGAUGCGCAGGAAUUUCAUGCAUGCAUUUCAAAAAAAUUUUAAUGAAAGAAUAUUAGAUUAAACUAUUUAAUCUACAAAUGUAUGCAUAAGAUCUGAUCUUAAAACUUCUACAAAUAGAUCAAUGAUAUGAAUUUACAUGCAUAAAAAUUUGAAUUCAAAAUGACAAGCAUGUGAACCAAAAAUAGCAUU